UACCGUCCGCAAGCUUAAAACUCCAAAAUGAAUGGACGGGGGGCCCGCACCAAGCCGCUGCGAGCCAUGCUGAUUUAAUUCGACGCAACGCGAAGACCCUUACAUGGCCUGGACAUCCAGAGAACUUUCCAGAGACAGAUCGUCUUCUUCGAAAACUCUGAGCCAGGUGCUGCAUGUCGUUCUUCAGUUCGUUUCGUGAGAGGUUGGGUUAAUUCCCCUAACGAGCCCAACCUCUAUCCAUGGUUGCUAGCAGGUAAGGUUGAGAAUUCCAGGGAGCCUCCCGGUUCCAAUCCGAAGGAAGGUGGGGAGGCGUUCAGUUCUUCAUGCCCUUUUCUGCCAGGGCUCCACCCGUGUUCCAAUGGUGCGUACAGAGGGGUGCCAACUCGGGAGAGUGAGCCAAUCCCUUAAAACAGUUUCUAGUCCGGAUGUGAGUCUGCAACUCGACUCCGAAAGUCGGAAUCGUAUAGUAAUCGCGAAUCAGAAUGUCGCGGUGAAUACGUCCCGGGCCUUGUACACACCGCCC
Molecule: ribosomal RNA, 523 nt
Filed under: Marinobacter alkaliphilus
Lineage: Bacteria; Pseudomonadati; Pseudomonadota; Gammaproteobacteria; Pseudomonadales; Marinobacteraceae
Description: bacterial SSU rRNA
Rfam family: Bacterial small subunit ribosomal RNA
Source: RNAcentral